GUGUGUUAGUGUGUGAGGGCGGAGUUCAACAAAGGCGGUGCUUCCUCAGGGCAGCAUGCACACUGGAGCCGCUGCUGGCUGUGAAGAGAACAAUAGUCAGACUGAAUGUUGAACAUCAGCUGCUUCCUCCUGCUGAUUUAAACCUUGGUGGACAGAUGGAACAUUGGCUGUGGAUUAUUCUGGCUGCUCUUUUCUCUGAGUGUAAAGGAGACUCAGUGAAGCAGACAGAAGGAGAAGUUGUUGCUGCUGCAGGAGAAUCACUGACUCUGAGAUGUACUUAUGAGACCAGUGUGAGUGUCACAUUGUUCUGGUACAAACAAGAAGGAAACAGUUUCCCAAAGUACAUGGUGAAGCAGCUGUCAUCGUCAAAAUAUAAAGCUCCAGAUUUCGACAAUGACAGAUUUGAUGCUGACUUCAAUAAAGACAACAAAUCCUUCAACCUGAAGAUCCAGGAUCUCCGUCUGUCAGACUCUGCUGUGUACUACUGCGCUCUGCAGCCCACAGUGGCAGGAAACACCAGAACCCUGUACAAAAACCUGCAGUUCUCCGCAGCAGCCACUAGAGGGCCUCACUCCCUGUUGGUCCACUGGUUGUUGAGUCUUUGGACUGAAGACAAAGACAGAUGAGACGUUGUGACUGAGCUCAGUCUCAACCAUCACCAUUAUCUGCUUUAGACUGUGGCAACAGGACAGAAUGAAAACAAAAACAAUAAAAAAACAAAGUGCUACAAUAAAAUUAUUUGCUGUUAAUGUUUAACAGGUUGAAGGUUCAGAUCCAUGAGCUAUUGUUGCUUUAAUUGGAAGAUUGUGAAAAUGUUUGACUAAAUAUCUCAGAUUCUCUCAGUAAAUUGACUCAGAGGAAGCAGAUUAAAUAACAUGAACUUUAUUUAAAAAAGUAGAAAUUACAGACCAGAUGAGUCUUUUUCUUCAGCAGUGGAGUUUUGUUGAACUGUUGAUGAUUUAUAUUCUGCAGUGACUCAUAGUGGGAUGAAU
Molecule: non-coding RNA, 992 nt
Organism: Xiphophorus maculatus (southern platyfish)
Lineage: Eukaryota; Metazoa; Chordata; Actinopteri; Cyprinodontiformes; Poeciliidae
Source: the annotation of a RefSeq genome assembly